RNAcentral lists this ribosomal RNA (497 nucleotides) under uncultured bacterium. RNAcentral's name for it is "partial 16S ribosomal RNA". It matches the Rfam family "Bacterial small subunit ribosomal RNA", at positions 28 to 507 of the family's 1533-position model. The record is from RNAcentral.
GAUGAACGCUGGCGGCGUGCCUAAUACAUGCAAGUCGAGCGAACAGACGAGGAGCUUGCUCCUCUGACGUUAGCGGCGGACGGGUGAGUAACACGUGGAUAACCUACCUAUAAGACUGGGAUAACUACGGGAAACAGGAGCUAAUACCGGAUAAUAUAUUGAACCGCAUCGUUCAAUAGUGAAAGACGGUUUUGCAGACACUUAUAGAUGGAUCCGCGCCGCAUUAGCUAGUUGGUAAGGUAACGGCUUAACAAGGCAACGAUGCGUAUCCGACCUGAGAGGGUGAUCGGCCACACGGGAACUGAGACACGGUCCAGACUCCUACGGUAGGACGCAGUCGGGAAUCUUCCGCGAUGGGCGAAAGCCUGACGGAGCAACGCCGCGUGAGUGAUGAAGGUCUUCGGAUCGUAAAACUCUGUUAUUAGGGAAGAACAAAUGUGUAAGUAACUAUGCACGUCUUGACGGUACCUAAUCAGAAAGCCACGGCUAACUACGUG